UAUAUGUAUACUGUAUGUCUAACUCUUGCUCUUUCUUUUUUCUUCUCUAGGUAUACAUGUACCUCUCAGUCUCACAUGUCUUCACUCUUUCUCGCGUUAGCGCAAGCAUAACUGCAUUGUCUGUUGAGGUCCCAUCAAAUGCACUUGCUGAAAUAUCUGGCAAAUAUUGUGGGAACAGAAACACAUGCUAACAAACGUUGUGGAGAAUGGAAAGACAAAUACUUGCCAAUUAAUGAUAAAAGAAAUGCCUAAUUUGAAGAAUGAAUUACACUUAUUUUCAUAAUCAAGAAGCUGAUGUGUCAAGAUGAACUCAAACAAUGGAACAUUUUAUAUAAUUUCUGUACUUGUUGAAUGGGCUGAAGCAUUCAUAAUGUGUCUCCAUAUCUUGUUAUACCAAGCUUAGGACUGAUGUCAUCAUUAAGUCUUAGAUUCAAGCAAGUUCAAGUCGUAUUUACCUCUUUAUAUUUGAGUGAAAAGACAUCAAGAUCACAUUACAAACAUUGUUCUUUUUUAAUAAAAAUAAUUGUCAUAAAUUGUCUUACAAAUGCA
Molecule: long non-coding RNA, 549 nt
Organism: Amphimedon queenslandica
Lineage: Eukaryota; Metazoa; Porifera; Demospongiae; Haplosclerida; Niphatidae
Exons: 6
Source: RefSeq, a predicted model, not a curated record